Molecule: ribosomal RNA, 466 nt
Filed under: uncultured bacterium
Lineage: Bacteria
Description: partial 16S ribosomal RNA
Rfam family: Bacterial small subunit ribosomal RNA
Source: RNAcentral
GACGAACGCUGGCGGCGCGCCUAACACAUGCAAGUCGAACGAGCGAGCGAGAGCUUGCUUUCUUGAGCGAGUGGCGAACGGGUGAGUAACGCGUGAGGAACCUGCCUCAAAGAGGGGGACAACAGUUGGAAACGACUGCUAAUACCGCAUAAGCCCACGACCCGGCAUCGGGUUGAGGGAAAAGGAGCAAUCCGCUUUGUGAUGGCCUCGCGUCCGAUUAGCUAGGUGGUGAGGUAACGGCCCACCAAGGCGACGAUCGGUAGCCGGACUGAGAGGCUGAACGGCCACAUUGGGACUGAGACACGGCCCAGACUCCGACGGGAGGCAGCAGUGGGGAAUAUUGCACAAUGGGGGAAACCCUGAUGCAGCGACGCCGCGUGGAGGAAGAAGGUCUUCGGAUUGUAAACUCCUGUUGUUGAGGAAGAUAAUGACGGUACUCAACAAGGAAGUGACGGCUAACUACGUG